This is a long non-coding RNA of Folsomia candida, 3205 nucleotides long. RefSeq lists it as uncharacterized. The transcript has 4 exons. The record is from RefSeq and is a predicted model, not a curated record. NCBI's taxonomy places the organism in Eukaryota, Metazoa, Arthropoda, Collembola, Entomobryomorpha, Isotomidae.
AGUACUUUCUCAGCCAGAGAUUAGCCGACAACUUUAAAGUCUUUACACCAGAUAAAGAUUUGAUUCAUUUUCUGGCUUAGUUUUUCUAAAACUUUUAGAAAACUGAGAAAUGUAUAAACCACUUUUUCUCGUUACUUGCAUAAUAAUUAAUUCCUGUAACCCUGUCCAAUCUAGCAGUACGGAUAAAUUGGGAAAGAGAUUUAUGAAAACAGAUCGAGAUGGAGGAGUCCAAAAUUCGCGAAAUUUUGUUAGCAUCCCAAAAACUACAUGGAAUUCGACCCCAGUUUGUCCUGCUCGAGGGAAUGCAACUUCACAUGGGGGAAGACGAAUUAACGAGAAAAUAGAUUCCCGCGGUGGAUAUGUUCCCAACUUUUUGGCAGCGCUUCCUCGCGCAAUGGACAUUUUAGGAUUGGGAAUUUUAUUCGUACGAACGGUCGCGAUUGGGACCCAGUUUCCGCUAAUUUAUCCAAUUUUCCUCCCACUCGUUAUCCUCUUGUCCAUCGGGAUUUAUUUCGUCCCGAUUUAAAAACUGUGUAGAAUUUGUACGCAUUAGUGCCUAUGUGUAUGUAUAUAAUGUGUCUACCGGAACGUUGUAUAUCUACGUAUGUAUCAUCUAUAAACGUAGUACUACAUACAGUUUUAACCAAUUUUACACUCUUAAAAAUCUGGCUUUGUUUAUCACGAAAGUAUUGGUUUCUCAGUGUUAAAGUCGCUACCGUUUGGUAUUAAAAUUAAACCGGUCGGUAAAAUUUGCUACUGAUGUGGUAAACAUUUCAUACCGAGCUAUUACUACCGGGUAUUAUUAAUCAAUGCCACGUUAGUCGAGUCAUAAGUCAUAACUACUAGUAACAUAUUAAGUGAGUUUCGAGCUAAUUAUUAGGAUGGAACUUAACACCGGAACUGGAAGAAUAUGUCUUUUUAUGUAAAGUGAAAGUGUUUACGGGUCAAAUCAUCUUACUUUUGUCAAGUUGUGAAAUUAGGUUAUUCAUAAUAAAAACGUAUGUAUCUUACUUACAAGUAGGUUAUGCAUAUUCGUAUAGUUUAGUCUUUUUAAAUACGGCAUUUAACACGCAUUUCUCCAAGCUCAAAAUUAUCCAAUUGUCGAGGUCAGUAAAAAGAAAAGUCAGUCAACUUAAUCGGCUGGUCUAGACGCUGAGGAAAGUUACCAGGUAAUUAAUACCGCAAUUAGAGCCAAUCUUCAAGCUAAAUCUUUCCCCUCACUAUGUUUUUCACCGGUUAGUGUCAAUUUCAACUAAUUAGCAGCAUUAGCAGAAGGAAUAAAUAAAAUAUCGAAAACAACACUUGCUACGCCGUUAGCUUUGUAUGUAUAACUAACUGCAUGGCAAAUAUAACUGAAUAUCACGUUCUUUUGUCAAGUAUACUAAUUUGGACUGCAGAAAUAAACACGAAGGACACCCAUGAAUCGUCUAGCUGCCUAGUAUUGCGUUGUCCUUUGUAUGGAUUUCUUGUGGGGCUAAUAAAACAACACAAUUUCACUUUGUGUUAAACUUAGUGCUUUUGGAGAUAUGUAAAUGGAUGCAAUCAAUAAAUCAUGUAAAUAUCUGUAUACUAAUAAAAAAUAAGUACGAUUGUUUAAUUUGCUAAAAACUCAAAGUAAGAAAAUUUGAAAUUGACUAGUCUAGCUCGCAGACGGGAGAUAGAUAUAUUUGUAAUGGAUGCGGGACGAUAUUCAAAUAUCUUAAUUAAGAUUAUUGAAUUAAUCUUAAUUCAAUCUUCAAUGAAUUAAUCUUAAUUAAGACAAUGUGUGUACUUUACUAAUAUUAUGUACUUGAUUUUAAGCUGAUGUUGUUCCCUACUUUCGAAGUAGAUUUAUGACAACAUAAAAAAGCGCAAUGAAGAAAAUUCAAUUUUUGCUUCACACUAAAUAACAUUUUUAAAAAUUUAUCCAAGGUUGAGUAAAAUAGAGGAUAGAGUAGAAUAGAGGAGACCAACAACGUAUGCAUGUAAAAUUUUUCCAACGUUUUGUAAAUUUUACACAACUUUAUUUAGAUUGUACAUAAAACACUGAUAAAAACAUGAUUCGGAACCCUGUUUGUCGUGUAUCAGAUUACAUUCUAAUUAAUUGUAUCCCAAACAAACAAAUUAUUUUGUGAUGACGCACAUUGUAACCAUGUUCGAAAUGGUGAUGCAUUAUGCAAUGGAUUUCCACUCCCUCGUCUCUUAACUGGCUGAUUUCAGCUAAUUGUCAUGUUUGUUAAAAAAUCUUCUCGUAUUUGCGACUGUAUAUUGGACAUGCAUAAAUUAUAAGUCUAUUGAAUUUAUGAAUGUACAUACAUAAAUAAUAUUUAUCUGCCUUGUCGUCUACGACGAAUUUAUUUAAGACGAAUCAAGUUAAUUCCUUUUUAAGAUCGAGGCUGAAGUAGAAACCGAUUUAUUCACGAAUAGACAGUUGUUUAAGAAGGUGAAAUUUAUAAUUUGAUUUUCGAGAAAUUCAUCAUUAGUUACAAUAUUUUGUUUCAUCUAUUUAUUUAGUAUGCAUGUUGGAAACUACAUUUUGGCGGGAUUACUAAUUUUUAACCAUUUUUCCAAAUGCUCGGACUCAAGUAGAAAAAUGGACCAUUUUAAAGAAGUUGUACUCCGCGGAGAAGAUAUUACGGGUGGGCAGCGAAACCUCAACACCGAAAAGUUUUCUGCACCAACCUUUCCCAUUUGUCCAUCGAAUAAUUCCUCUCGAGAUGCGCGUAUCAGUAGUCACGAAGUUUUCAAUUUCUUAGGAGCACUUCCACGAGCCAUGGAAAUUCUUGGACUAGGGAUUCUGUUCAUUCGUACAGUAGCUAUCGGAACGCAGUUUCCCCUCCUUUAUCCAAUCUUUAUUCCUCUCGUGGCCAUUUUAUCGAUUGGAAUAUAUUUUAUUCCUAUUCCCAAUUAACAACCAAAUUGUUUGCAAAAACUAAGGAGGAUUAUGCAACUUCCUAGGAGAACCUGUACCAGAAACGGUGUGCAAAACCAAUUGUUCCAUGUUGGAGGCGCCAAUGUUCCAUUGUCUGAAUGGCCAAAAGUGUUGCUUACUGUCAAAGACGGGGGCUGUUGAGACACCCUGAAUUUUUAGAGGUGUUAAUAUAUAUGUUUCCCAAUAUUGAUGAUGUAAUAUACAUUAUGUAUAAAUAUAAUUAGUAGAUAAAACUGCAAGUUACUCGAUUAGAUACAUCACAUCAAUAAACUGUUUUCUGUUUUAUGUAAUCAA